UCAGAUAAGCUAGAGCAUGCGGCUGUUAACCGCAGGGUCGUUGGUUCGAGUCCAACAGGGGGAGCCA
This 67-nucleotide transfer RNA is filed under the name Ruminococcus sp. YE71. RNAcentral describes it as "tRNA_Asn_GTT". It matches the Rfam family "tRNA", at positions 12 to 71 of the family's 71-position model. From Rfam's summary of the family: Transfer RNA (tRNA) molecules are approximately 80 nucleotides in length. Their secondary structure includes four short double-helical elements and three loops (D, anti-codon, and T loops). Lineage: Bacteria; Bacillati; Bacillota; Clostridia; Eubacteriales; Oscillospiraceae. The record is from RNAcentral. RNAcentral also lists the same sequence under 1 other name.